This 419-nucleotide unclassified non-coding RNA is filed under the name uncultured fungus. Its description in RNAcentral is "sequence contains ITS2". The stretch from base 1 to 52 matches the Rfam family "5.8S ribosomal RNA", at positions 103 to 154 of the family's 154-position model. Lineage: Eukaryota; Fungi. The record is from RNAcentral.
AACGCACAUUGCGCUCUCUGGUAUUCCGGAGAGCAUGCCUGUUUGAGUAUCAGUUGACCAUUCUCAAGCUGCAUGCAUACAUGACUCUUAGGCAGAGGAAUGUGUGUGUGGGGGGGGGGGUAGCAUGGAAGUGAGUGUUCCCGGUAUGAGUGCUCUGGCGCUGUAAUUGGGAGACUUGAAACUGAUCUAGCGGGGGGGGGCAGCGGUCAUUAAGGAUCGGCUCGUUGCAGGUGUACUAGUUGGAGGCGUCGUCGUCGCGAGACGGUGUUUUCAUUUUUAGCACCAACACAUUAAUGUGUGUCGUAACGUUCCCAGAUCUGACAACUGUCGCCGACAAACGCGCAGGAACUUGGAUGCGGGCGCAAGCCCAACUCUUAAUUCUUGAUCUCAAAUCAGGUAGGAUUACCCGCUGAACUUAA